GUGCUUGCUUUGGUAGUACAUAUACUAACAUUGAAACAAUACAGCGAAGAUUAGCAUGGCCUCUCUGCAAGAACAAUAUGCAAAUUUGUGAAGCAUUCCAUACUUUU
RNAcentral lists this small nuclear RNA (107 nucleotides) under Chinchilla lanigera (long-tailed chinchilla). The record is from RNAcentral. Lineage: Eukaryota; Metazoa; Chordata; Mammalia; Rodentia; Chinchillidae.